AUCUAUGCCAAAAUUGGUAUCCCAGCAUUACUCCAUCUCACCCCCUCAAUUUAUCUACUCCUUCUCCAUGGCCCUUUCUUUCUCCUAUUUAUGCCACAGCAUCAUCUCUCACUACUAACGAGCCAAGUUCUCUAAAAAUAUAAACCCAUUGUUCACAUUAGCUGAAACAAAAUCCUUGCCUCUCUUGCUCCCUUCCUCAGAUCUGAAGAAUGUGGCUAUUAAAUGGUAUAAACCCCAAGCAAGGCUUCUUAGGUGCUGAUAUAGGCACAAACGAUCAUAUGCUGGAAUGGGUGGACUAGGAAAGAAGGAGUAUCUAAUUCCAAUGCUCUACACGAUGAUCUCGUGCGACUCGGAGCGCCUCUUGUUGACCGUAUCUCGCUCACACUGCCACGGCGAAACAUGCGCUAAUAUGAGCAUGCAAUGACUAAAAUAAAAAAAGAGAACAAUCUUAUGAUACUCAGUAGGUGCAGGUAUUACAUGCUACAACUGGCGAAAGAGCUGGCCGCUGCAACGAACAGGCAACGAACUCCGGCGGAACGUACCAAUGUCCUCAACUACUCACUUGUCAGAAUGAAUGCCUAUGUGGUGUGUGUGUCUUAUGUCUACGAGUUAAGUUAAUAAUAUUAGUAGCGUUAGUGUUCGAUAUGCAAUACAUGCAUAUUGGUGGCAUCGUAUAAGAAUAGUUAAGUUUUCUGUGUUAUGCUGUACGUGCAACUGUCGUAGCCAACAGUCAACUCACUCCGGCGGAACGUAACAAUUUUCUCAACAACGAGGAUUACCUGUUUGAAUGAAUGCUUAUGUGGCAAAAGACAAUGGGGUAGCAGUGGAGCAUGCAGAUGUUUAUGUGAAAGUAUACAGUAUCAAAGAUGGGGCUCCUGUUAAUCCCAAAGUGGGGGAGAAGAUUAUGAAUCAAAUUUUAAAAUCAAGAGGGCAGAUCACUAUGAGGAGAGCGUGGUGAAGGAAUCCUUUAGUCGAAAAAUGAUGCGUUUGCUUAAGUGAUGGGUGCAGAACGUUAUGGACGUGUACGUGGGGUGGGUUUUGGACCAACCCCAUCAGGAAGAAGUGGGUCCAACCUUUCAUGAUAUACCUUAACUCUACUGUCGUCAAGCGAAACGACCCAUCGGAUUACUGAAUUGGAAACUUCGCUUGCAUCUAUGAUGGACCAACUUUCCCAUUCAGAGGAGAGGCAUCAAGAGAAUCUUGCCCAAGCACUAGCCCAAUCAAAUGCGCGGCAUGAGGAGUAACUUGCCGAAGCACUAGCCCAAUUAGAUGCAAAGCAUUAGGAGCAACUCACCGAAGCACUAGCCCAAUCAAAUGCAAAGCAUCAAGAGCAACUCACUGAAGCACUAACCCAAUCAAAUCCAAAGCAUCAAGAGCAAAUGACAGAAAUGAUGUUGCACAUAAAAGAAAUGUUCGCCCAAUUUAGCUCACUUAUGCAUUCUUCACUGUCUUCUCAGACAGGUACAUUGAUGCUUUAACAACAUAGAAGAGUUUAAGAGGAUUAAAUAGUGAAGCCAUGCAUUGUUCUCAAGG
Long non-coding RNA from Quercus lobata, 1533 nucleotides. RefSeq lists it as uncharacterized. The record is from RefSeq and is a predicted model, not a curated record. NCBI's taxonomy places the organism in Eukaryota, Viridiplantae, Streptophyta, Magnoliopsida, Fagales, Fagaceae. The transcript is spliced from 6 exons.